This 497-nucleotide ribosomal RNA is filed under the name uncultured bacterium. RNAcentral's name for it is "partial 16S ribosomal RNA". It matches the Rfam family "Bacterial small subunit ribosomal RNA", at positions 28 to 507 of the family's 1533-position model. The record is from RNAcentral.
GAUGAACGCUGGCGGCGUGCCUAAUACAUGCAAGUCGAGCGAACGGACGAGAAGCUUGCUUCCCUGAUGUUAGCGGCGGACGGGUGAGUAACACGUGGAUAACCUACCUAUAAGACUGGGAUAACUUCGGGAAACCGGAGCUAAUACCGGAUAAUAUUUUGAACCGCAUGGUUCAAAAGUGAAAGACGGUCUUGCUGUCACUUAUAGAUGGAUCCGCGCUGCAUUAGCUAGUUGGUAAGGUAACGGCUUACCAAGGCAACGAUGCAUAGCCGACCUGAGAGGGUGAUCGGCCACACUGGAACUGAGACACGGUCCAGACUCCUACGGGAGGCAGCAGUAGGGAAUCUUCCGCAAUGGGCGAAAGCCUGACGGAGCAACGCCGCGUGAGUGAUGAAGGUCUUCGGAUCGUAAAACUCUGUUAUUAGGGAAGAACAUAUGUGCAAGUAACUGUGCACAUCUUGACGGUACCUAAUCAGAAAGCCACGGCUAACUACGUG